GAGUGUAUAGCUCAGUGGUAGAGUACAUGCUUAGCAUGCACCAGGUCCUGGAUUCAAUCCCCAGUACCUCCA
This 72-nucleotide transfer RNA is filed under the name Camelus bactrianus (Bactrian camel). It matches the Rfam family "tRNA". From Rfam's summary of the family: Transfer RNA (tRNA) molecules are approximately 80 nucleotides in length. Their secondary structure includes four short double-helical elements and three loops (D, anti-codon, and T loops). Further hydrogen bonds mediate the characteristic L-shaped molecular structure. tRNAs have two regions of fundamental functional importance: the anti-codon, which is responsible for specific mRNA codon recognition, and the 3' end, to which the tRNAs corresponding amino acid is attached (by aminoacyl-tRNA synthetases). tRNAs cope with the degeneracy of the genetic code in two manners: having more than one tRNA (with a specific anti-codon) for a particular amino acid; and 'wobble' base-pairing, i.e. permitting non-standard base-pairing at the 3rd anti-codon position. Lineage: Eukaryota; Metazoa; Chordata; Mammalia; Artiodactyla; Camelidae. The record is from Rfam by way of RNAcentral. RNAcentral also lists the same sequence under 2 other names.